ACGCUCGACACCUACGUGAGGCAGCAGUGGGGAAUAUUGCACAAUGGGGGAAACCCUGAUGCAGCAACGCCGCGUGAAGGAAGACGGUUUUCGGAUUGUAAACUUCUGUUCUUAGUGAAGAUAGUGACGGUAGCUAAGGAGCAAGCCACGGCUAACUACGUGCCAGUAGCCGCGGUAAUCUGAGCGGGCUGGCAAGGC
RNAcentral lists this ribosomal RNA (198 nucleotides) under uncultured bacterium. RNAcentral's name for it is "partial 16S ribosomal RNA". It matches the Rfam family "Bacterial small subunit ribosomal RNA", at positions 328 to 539 of the family's 1533-position model. The record is from RNAcentral.